AAAACAAUUUCGAGACAAGAGUAAAUUUAAAAAAACAUGAAAGAACACACACUGGGGAGAAACCUUACAGUUGUACAGUGUGUGGAAAACAGUUUGGAGAAAAAAUCAGUUAAAACUACAUGAAAGAAUACACACUGGGGAGAAACCAUACAGUUGCACAGACUGUGGAAAACAAUUUCGAGCCAAGAGUACUUUAAAAAAUCAUGAAAGAACACACACUGUGGAGAAACCAUACAGUUGUGAGGUGUGUGGAAAACAAUUUCGAACCAAGAGUACUUUAAAAAUCAUGAAAGAACACACUGUGGAGAAACCAUACAGUUGUAAAGUGUUUAGAUGGAAGAAUCAAUUAAAACUACAUGAAAGAAUACACACUGGGGAGAAACCA
Limulus polyphemus (Atlantic horseshoe crab) is the source of this 385-nucleotide long non-coding RNA. RefSeq lists it as uncharacterized. The transcript is spliced from 2 exons. The record is from RefSeq and is a predicted model, not a curated record. NCBI's taxonomy places the organism in Eukaryota, Metazoa, Arthropoda, Merostomata, Xiphosura, Limulidae.